Molecule: ribosomal RNA, 253 nt
Filed under: uncultured bacterium
Lineage: Bacteria
Description: partial 16S ribosomal RNA
Rfam family: Bacterial small subunit ribosomal RNA
Source: RNAcentral
UACAGAGGGCGCGAGCGUUAAUCGGAUUUACUGGGCGUAAAGCGUGUGUAGGUGGUUGUGCAAGUCGGUUGUGAAAUCCCUGGGCUCAACCUGGGAACUGCUUCCGAGACUGUGCGACUAGAGAUCGGUAGAGGGCGGUGGAAUUUCCGGUGUAGCGGUGAAAUGCGUAGAUAUCGGAAGGAACGCCCGUGGCGAAAGCGAGGUCCUGGACGUCUACUGACGCUGAGACGCGAAAGCUAGGGGAGCAAACGGG